This 148-nucleotide non-coding RNA is filed under the name Homo sapiens (human). The record is from Rfam by way of RNAcentral. Lineage: Eukaryota; Metazoa; Chordata; Mammalia; Primates; Hominidae.
GCUGGGCAUGGUGGCGCAUGCCUGUAAUCCCAGCUACUCUGGAGGCUGAGGCAGGAGAAUCGCUUGAAUCCAGGAGGUGGUGGUUGCAGUGAGCUGAGAUCAUGCCAUUGCACUCCAGCCUGGGCAACAGGGCGAGACUCUGUCUCAA